UACGUAGGGGGCAAGCGUUGUCCGGAUUUAUUGGGCGUAAAGAGUGUGUAGGCGGCCAUACAGGUCAGCUGUGAAAACUCGAGGCUCAACCUCGAGACGUCGGUUGAAACCGUAUGGCUAGAGUCCGGAAGAGGAGAGUGGAAUUCCCGGUGUAGCGGUGAAAUGCGCAGAUAUCGGGAAGAACACCCGUGGCGAAGGCGGCUCUCUGGGACGGUACUGACGCUGAGACGCGAAAGCGUGGGGAGCGAACAGG
Molecule: ribosomal RNA, 253 nt
Filed under: uncultured bacterium
Lineage: Bacteria
Description: partial 16S ribosomal RNA
Rfam family: Bacterial small subunit ribosomal RNA
Source: RNAcentral